RNAcentral lists this ribosomal RNA (492 nucleotides) under uncultured bacterium. RNAcentral's name for it is "SSU rRNA". It matches the Rfam family "Bacterial small subunit ribosomal RNA", at positions 26 to 518 of the family's 1533-position model. The record is from RNAcentral.
AGGAUAAACGCUGGCGGCGUGCCUAACACAUGCAAGUCGAACGUCCUUGCGGUCUUCUUCUUCGGAGGAGGACCGCGAGGGAGUGGCGGACGGGUGAGUAACACAUGGGUACCUGCCUUUCAGUGAGGAAUACCGGCGAGAAAUCGCCGACAAGACCGCAUAGGCUUCCUUCGGUAGCCCGAGGGAAGCAAAGUUACUUCGCGAGAGGUGACGCUGGAAGAGGGGCCUGUGGCCGAUUAGCUAGUUGGGGGGUAACGGCCUCCCAAGGCGACGAUCGGUAGCUGGUCUGAGAGGACGAUCAGCCACACUGGGAUUGAGAACGGCCCAGACUCCUACGGGGGGCAGCAGUGAGGAAUUUUCGGCAAUGGGGGCAACCCUGACCGAGCAACGCCGCGUGCAGGACGACGGCCUCGGUUGUAAACUGCUUUUCUCUGGGACGAGCAAGGACGGUACCAGAGGAAGAAGCCCGGCUAACUACGUGCCAGCAGCCGC